RNAcentral lists this transfer RNA (74 nucleotides) under Vogesella indigofera. Its description in RNAcentral is "tRNA-Pro". It matches the Rfam family "tRNA". Rfam says of the family: Transfer RNA (tRNA) molecules are approximately 80 nucleotides in length. Their secondary structure includes four short double-helical elements and three loops (D, anti-codon, and T loops). RNAcentral also lists the same sequence under 2 other names. The record is from RNAcentral. Lineage: Bacteria; Pseudomonadati; Pseudomonadota; Betaproteobacteria; Neisseriales; Chromobacteriaceae.
CGGAGUGUGGCGCAGCCCGGUAGCGCACUUGCAUGGGGUGCAAGGGGUCGAAGGUUCGAAUCCUUUCACUCCGA